RNAcentral lists this long non-coding RNA (3776 nucleotides) under Sus scrofa (pig). RNAcentral describes it as "lncRNA (ENSSSCG00025074516.1)". Lineage: Eukaryota; Metazoa; Chordata; Mammalia; Artiodactyla; Suidae. The record is from RNAcentral.
AGGUCCCCUCGGGCUGUGGCCGCAGCGGCAGCGGCAGCGGCAGCGUCUGGCUUGCAGAGUCUCGGCCGGCCGAGGGAAGGGACCCUGAAAGGCCCCCAGUGCCCUCUGGCACCCGGGUCAGAUGCCGGCCAGCGAGGGUGCGGAGAGAGAGAGACCUUGAGCAGCGCCAACCGCGUCCUCCGCUCUGCGAGCCCCCUCUGGAGCGGCGGGAAGUACCCUCGGAGCCUCCAUCCCUGGACGUGGAUCCAGGAGAGUCUGGACCUCUGGGGCCCUUGGCAGAGAGCCUGCAUCCUGAGCACGUCUGGACCAGAGGGGGUGAGGUGAGCAGGCAGGGAGCCUGGGUACCUGGCAGGUGUGGGGACUGUGGGUGGAAGGGCUGCCUCCUGGCCAGGCCAUCCUUGGGAGCAGGCAGAGAGGCGGGGAAGGAGGCCCUUCUGCAAAAUCAGCUGGCUCACCGGAUGCUCAGGCCCCCGGUGGGGAACGUGAAGUUCACGUCCCUGCUGGGUUGUUCCCUGCCUCUCCUGUUGUGCCAGGCUCCCAGGCUGAGCAUAGGCUGCCUCUCACUGGACGUGCUUCCUGCCCUGCUCAGACCCCCAUCCCACAUCUCUACACCAUUGUGGGCUCACACUGUCCACCUGGCUCUGCUGGCAGGACCUAUCUUACUCAAAGUUUGAGAGACAGGGAACCCCUGCCAUAGGGGUUAUCUCGGUGAGAGGGUGGCUUGCUGUCACUCUCCUGCCCAUCGGACUGGCCUCUGCCGUCUAGUUCCGGCUCUGUCUCUGCCUCACUGAGUGACCUUGGGAAGCAACUGGGCCUUGAUCUUCCCGUCUAGACAAGGGGGGAUUACACUGGUUGGUCCCUGAGGGCCCUUGAAGCUCCAGUUUUCUGUGUGUCUAGGAAUCUGGAUGCAGGUGUCACUGGGGUCAGAGUGAAAAUAUCUUUAGUAUCUUUUUUUUUCUGUCUUAUUUUGGCCACACUCGUGGCAUAAGGAAGCACCCAGGCCAGGGGUCAAAUCGGAGCUGCAGCUGCUGGCCUACACCCCAGCCAUAGCAAUGUGGAUUGAGCCACAUCUGCGACCUACACCACAGCUCAUGGCAAAGCCAGAUCCUUAACCCAUGAGCAAGGCCAGGAAUGGAACCCCUGUUCUCAUGGAUACUAGUUGGAUUCAUUACCACUGAGCCACAGUGGAACUCCCUGAAUAUACCUUUACUUGGGUACCUGGGAGGUCAUGCCUGGAUCCUGGCAGUUCCAUGUCUCCCAACACUGCCCCAAAGUGGGUUGCUCCUGGACAUUGGCAUCCAUGCUCUUGGGGAGGUUAGAGAUGUUUGACCAACACAUAGCACCCCCUCCUUCCCUGUCUUUGAAGAGCAUCACAGAGGAGGGCUUGGCCCUGGCAUUUGGGGGAGUGAGGUGAAGGAGACGGGGAGGCUGUGCCAGAAGGAUCACUGCUCAGCUCUGGGACCCCCAGACUCGCAGAUGCCUGUUUUAAAAUAAGGGCUGAUUUCAGGUUAUGGCUCAUCGUGCCCCAGGAGAGGCUCCCCUCCCAGAGGAGUGAGAGGGCCAUUUGUUCUCCAGCAAGGCUUCCUGGUGGGGAGGCAUAUAUGCUCUUGGCCUUGCUUGCAGGGUUGAAACUCAGGGAUGAAGAGAAGGGGAGGGGGGGCAUCUAUGAGAGGCCGGGAUCCCUCGGGCUGGGCGUGCCCAAGGGAUGCGUAUGCCAGUGUCUCGAGCUGAGAUGUGACAGUAGUCUGAGCUUGCAGACAGAGAUCUGGCUUCUUUGACACAUGACCUAGUUAUCCAGAGGAACCUGGAAUAUUCUCAAAGGAAGAAGGAUAGAUUCAUGGAUAGGGGAUGGAUAAAAUUAAACUGAUCUGAGAAAGGAAUCGCUAAUGACUUUCUGCAGGUUAUUCAUUUAUUGAAUAGGAGAGGCAAACUGAAUUUUAUCUUAGUGUUCUGAGCCUGACAGACUAAGAAUGGGUCAGGCUGAGGAUUAGGGCUGUAGAAGGGAGAUGGAGGUUUGGCACGGAGGAGAGUGGGCAUCGGGCAAGGGUGACGUGAUUUGAGACCUGUUGAACUUGAAGCAACAAAAGGAGAGCCUAGUGGAACAAGGGGCACUUGUCGAGGUGAGGAUGUGGAUUUGGAAACGUCACACAUAGAGAUGAUAGCAGAGGUUCUAUAAAUGAGUCUUCAAAGGAGAGACAUUAAAGCAAAAGAUGAGGAAUGAAGAACCUUAGGAAACUUGAAUUAAUAUCCCUUGGUUUAUAGAGGGGAAAACUGGGCUCCGGAAUUUGUCAUUCGUUCACCUAGCCAUCUACUCAUCCGUGCGUCCAUCCAUGCAUCCAUCCAAACACUCAACAAAUGUAUUUAUCCAGAAGCUAUAAUGUGCAAGGUCCUGAAAAUGUUCCUGGCUCAGGGACUGACAAGGGAUCGUUAGCAAGGAGGCGGUAGCGAGAGGAUCAUCUGGGAACCGAGAGGGGAGGAUGUUUCAGGAAAGUCAGUAACAUCCAGGACAGCUAAGGAAAGCAAUUUGGAUUUGCUCUCUGGUGGAUCCUGGAGAGAAUUUUGGUAAACUGCUGGCAAUGGGAAGUCAUGAAUGAAGGAGCUAAGGAGGGAUUGGCGAUGCUUCUGGAAGACAGACAGGAAUGGUUUUUGCCUCUAGCUUUUGCAGGGUGCUUUUUGGUGGUGAAGGAUUACUUGCGUGUAGCCAGCACGUUCAUCAAUUCAACGUGUCGUCUGAAACGUCUAAAUAGGAUUCUAUCAGGACAGAGUGUCCUGAAAUAGAGAACCUGCUCUAUCACCUACUGUCUAGUUAUUUACCAGGAAUAGCUGUGCCUUGGGAAAAGCCUGAGGCCAGAUGUCAGAAGACCUGAUUCCUGGUCCUGGCUCUGGUGCCAGCCAACUGGAUUAGGAUGACCUUGGCCAGGUCACUUAACAAGAACUCUUUAUCCGUAAGACAACAAAGUUAUUCCCAUACGACAACGAAGUUACUCCCCAUACCUUAUCUGGCAUUGCCGCUCACCUUGGACUCCCUCCAGAUAUCCACCUUGCUGAGUGGAUAGAUGGAAGGAUGAAUGGUUAGAUGGAUGAAUUAAAAAUUCUGGAACUCAGCUGGCACAUCUCUAAACCAAGGGACAUCAAUUCAGGCUUUCUGAGGUUCCUUCCAACUCCAAUGAUCUAUGACUAUCCUUUUUUUUUAAUUUUAAUUUUUUUUAGCAUAAGUAGAAUUCAUCCAAAGUUGCUUAGUGCCAAAACAGCUGGGCCAAUUAACUUUUUGUAGAUUAUUCCAUUUAAUCUCCUUGAGGUUAGAGACUAAACCAUCUAUUGUCACAGCUCCAAAGACUUUCUUUUAUGAUCAAUGAUAGCAUCUUAGGAGGUUGAUUCUAAGUGUUCUUUGAAGGAAAAAGAAAUGAUUUCCAACUGUAGAUUCUCUAGAAGACACAUUCAAGGAUAGGGAGUGUGUGGUUCUCACGGCAGACAACGUACCAUAGUGUUUGCCAGCUACUCAAAAGUUGUCCUUGGGAGUUCCUGUCGUGGCGCAGCGGAAAUGAAUCCAACUAGGAACCAUGAGGUUGUGGGUUCGAUCCCCGGCCUCGCUCAGUGGGUUAAGGAUCCGGUGUUGCCGUGAGCUGUGGUGUAGGUCACAGAUGUGGUUCAGAUCCAGCAUUGCUGUCGCUGUGUUGUAGGCCAGCAGCUGCAGCUUCAAUUUGACCCCUACCCUGGGAACCUUCAUAUGCUGCAGGUGUGGCCCUAAAAAGACAAAAGCCAAAAAAAAAAAAAAA